GACAGAGGGUGCAAACGUUGUUCGGAAUUACUGGGCGUAAAGCGCGUGUAGGCGGCAACGCAAGUCGGGUGUGAAAGCCCUUGGCUCAACUGAGGAAGUGCACUCGAAACUGCGUUGCUUGAGUCCCGGAGAGGAUGGUGGAAUUCUCGGUGUAGAGGUGAAAUUCGUAGAUAUCGAGAGGAACACCGGUGGCGAAGGCGGCCAUCUGGACGGUGACUGACGCUGAGACGCGAAAGCGUGGGUAG
RNAcentral lists this ribosomal RNA (245 nucleotides) under uncultured bacterium. Its description in RNAcentral is "partial 16S ribosomal RNA". It matches the Rfam family "Bacterial small subunit ribosomal RNA", at positions 524 to 768 of the family's 1533-position model. The record is from RNAcentral.